GACGAACGCUGGCGGCGUGCUUAACACAUGCAAGUCGAACGGAGUGGCGAACGGGUGAGUAACACGUGGGUGACCUGCCCUGCACUUAGGGAUAAGCCUGGGAAACUGGGUCUAAUACCGGCUAGUGUGGGAUGGGCCCGCGGCCUAUCAGCUUGUUGGUGGGGUAAUGGCCUACCAAGGCGGCGACGGGUAGCCGGCCUGAGAGGGUGGACGGCCCCAUUGGGCCUGAGACACGGCCCAGACUCCUACGGGAGGAAGCAGUGGGGGAUAGUGCGCAAUGGGCGGAAGCCGUGUGCAGCGACGUCGCGUGGGGGAUGACGGCCUUCGGGUUGUGAACGUCCUUCACCAUCGACGCGGUAGAUGGAGAAGAAGCAACGGCUAACUACGUGCCAGCAGCCGCGGUAAUAC
Molecule: ribosomal RNA, 408 nt
Filed under: uncultured bacterium
Lineage: Bacteria
Description: partial 16S ribosomal RNA
Rfam family: Bacterial small subunit ribosomal RNA
Source: RNAcentral